Molecule: long non-coding RNA, 1306 nt
Organism: Nycticebus coucang (slow loris)
Lineage: Eukaryota; Metazoa; Chordata; Mammalia; Primates; Lorisidae
Exons: 3
Source: RefSeq, a predicted model, not a curated record
GGCGACCCUGCCCUGGCUCCCGGCUUCUCCUCCGGACUGCUGGGGCGGGGCCGGCUGUGUGUGGGAGGAGACGUACUGCCCCGCCCCCAGCCUGUCUUCCGGACCGGAGGGAAGACUAAGGGCGUGGCUGAGCGCGGAGAGCGGGAACCCAGUUACAGGCGGGGCCUGUCCCCGGGAGGAACCCGCAGUGAGGAGCACUUCGGGACGCUGUGGUGAGAUUCACGCGCGGGACCAAUAGCCUGUUGAUGACUUGUGUUUAUGACCACUCCGUCGUGGGCUGGGCUCCACUGCUUGUUCCUGCCGCUGAGAACCAACCACAGGGGAACGUCCUCCUCCGCCGGGACCUAACUUCGCCGCCACCACAAUCAAAUCAGCAAUCUGCCCCUCAAUAAAAUCUUCCUCAUGCUCUCUAUUUGUAUUCAUACCUACAUUGAAAGCUCUCAGACUACCUCGAGCUGUCACAGUGCUUCCCUAACACUUGGGAGAGGUGGCCAAGAGGAGCUCCUGUCUCAACUCUGGCACGUUGCCUGCCUUGCUCUGCUCAUUCAUUCCAUGACUGAAUAGCAGUAACUGUUCUUCUGUACCAACAAUCUGGGAACACAGGGACCCACCCCGACACCAUUCCUGUCUGAGCUACAGAGUGCACUAUCAUUAAUUUUCCAAUAUUGCAGAACCUUUCCAAGUUUGUUUGAUUUUAAUGGAAUGUUUAACUACUUUUUCUCCAAAAGAAUGGAAUAUUUGCCAUGAAUAUCAUGCUCUCUGUCAUAUUUAUCCUCUUUUUGAACUCAGCUUUCAACCUGCUGUUGUAAUUUUUCAUUGUUCUUUGUAUAGCUGUCGUUUUUUUAUCUUUCUCCUAUAACCUGGGGAUUUAUUACUCUCUAUUUUCUGGUUCCCUUGCAUUGUAAUUUUUUGAUUAAAAACAUUUUGAGAAACAUAUGAGUUAUUCUACUCUUACAAUUGAUUGAGAGUUUGGCUCAGUAUUGAUCCACUGUUCCCUAACUCCCAGGGCUGCUCCGUAGAAGCUGAUACCAUGCCCAUUACUAUUUUAUGUGAGACCGGUUUUCACCUAUUGAAAGUGUUACAAUUUUUAUUUUUUGCCUACAGGGUUUUAAAAUUCUAUGGUGAUAUUCUUUAGUGUGGAGUUUUCUUCUUUAUUCCCUCCUUUCCUCUUCCUUUAACUGUUUUCCUUCUCUUAGACAGCAUGACACAAUUAGGGUAGAUUUCCCAGCAAUACUGAGAAGGCUCCAUAAGAUAUUUCAUUAGUGAUUUCAUUUUCUCUUUUAAAAAUCAUUUAGUUAAAACUCUU